Molecule: ribosomal RNA, 305 nt
Filed under: uncultured bacterium
Lineage: Bacteria
Description: partial 16S ribosomal RNA
Rfam family: Bacterial small subunit ribosomal RNA
Source: RNAcentral
ACAGCAGCAGCCGCGGUAAUACGUAGGGUGCGAGCGUUAAUCGGAAUUACUGGGCGUAAAGCGUGCGCAGGCGGUUUUGUAAGACAGAGGUGAAAUCCCCGGGCUAAACCUGGGAACUGCCUUUGUGACUGCAAGGCUAGAGUACGGCAGAGGGGGAUGGAAUUCCGCGUGUAGCAGUGAAAUGCGUAGAUAUGCGGAGGAACACCGAUGGCGAAGGCAAUCCCCUGGGCCUGUACUGACGCUCAGGUGCGAAAGCGUGGGGAGCAAACAGGAUUAGAUACCCCCGUAGUCCCUGUCUCUUAUAC